UGCCCGGAUAAUCGUAUUCUAAAGACAGCUGGUGGCUUCGCCGUAAAUCCAGCCGAGGAGUGCACGUCAAGAUAAAUUGACUGUCCCUUCUCGUAUACACGGGAAGGGAUUUUUGUGUUCUUCU
Regulatory RNA element from Ruminococcus sp., 124 nucleotides. It matches the Rfam family "Ribosomal protein L10 leader". Rfam says of the family: This family is a putative r-protein leader autoregulatory structure found in B. subtilis and other low-GC Gram-positive bacteria. It is located in the 5' untranslated regions of mRNAs encoding ribosomal proteins L10 and L12 (rplJ-rplL). Lineage: Bacteria; Bacillati; Bacillota; Clostridia; Eubacteriales; Oscillospiraceae. The record is from Rfam.